AGUUCGGUCCGGCUCAGAUUGAACGCUGGCGGGAUGCUUUACAUGCAAGUCGAACGGCAGCACGGACUUCAGUCUGGUGGCGAGUGGCAGAACGGGUGAGUAAUGUAUCGGAACGUGCCUAGUAGCGGGGGAUAACUACGCGAAAGCGUAGCUAAUACCGCAUACGCCCUUCGAAGGGGAAAGCGGGGGACCUUCGGGCCUCGCACUAUUAGAGCGGCCGAUAUCGGAUUAGCUAGUUGGUGGGGUAACGGCUCACCAAGGCGACGAUCCGUAGCUGGUUUGAGAGGACGACCAGCCACACUGGGACUGAGACACGGCCCAGACUCCUACGGGAGGCAGCAGUGGGGAAUUUUGGACAAUGGAAACCCUGAUCCAGCCAUCCCGCGUAUCUGCGAUGAAGGCCUUCGGGUUGUAAAGCACUUUUGGCAGGAAAGAAACGGCACGGGAUAAUACCCCGUGCAACUGACGUACCUGCAGAAUAAGCACCGGCUAACUACGUGCCAGCAGCCGCGGUAAUACGUAGGGUGCAAGCGUUAAUCGGAAUUACUGGGCGUAAAGCGUGCGCAGGCGGUUCGGAAGAAAGAUGUAAAAAUCCCAGAGCUUAACUUUGGAACUGCAUUUUUAACUACCGAGCUAGAGUGUGUCAGAGGGAGGUGGGAUUCCGCGUGUAGCAGUGAAAUGCGUAGAUAUGCGGAGGAACACCGAUGGCGAAGGCAGCCUCUAAGGAUAACACUGACGCUCAUGCACGAAAGCGUGGGGGAGCAAACGGGAUUAGAUACCUGGUAGUCCACGCCCUAAACGACGUCAACUAGCUGUUGGGGCCUUCGGGCCUUGGUAGCGCAGCUAACGCUGAAGUUGACCGCCUGGGGAUGCGGUCGCAAGAUUAAAACUCAAAGGAAUUGACGGACCCGCACAAGCGGUGGAUGAUGUGGGUUAAUUCGAUGCAACGCGAAAAACCUUACCUACCCUUGACAUGUCUGGAAUCCCGAAGAAGGAUUUAGGAGUGCUCGCAAGAGAACGGAACACAGGUGCUGCAUGGCUGUCGUCAGCUCGUGUCGUGAGAUGUUGGGUUAAGUCCCGCAACGAGCGCAACCCUUGUCAUUAGUUGCUACGAAAGGGCACUCUAAUGAGACUGCCGGUGACAAACCGGAGGAAGGUGGGGAUGACGUCAAGUCCUCAUGGCCCUUAUGGGUAGGGCUUCACGUCAUACAGUGGUCGGGACAGAGGGUCGCCAACCCGCGAGGGAACCAAUCCCAGAAACCCGAUCGUAGUCCGGAUCGCAGUCUGCAACUCGACUGCGUGAAGUCGGAAUCGCUAGUAAUCGCGGAUCAGCAUGUCGCGGUGAAUACGUUCCCGGGUCUUGUACACACCGCCCGUCACACCAUGGGAGUGGGUUUUACCAGAAGUAGUUAGCCUAACCGUAAGGAGGGCGAUUACCACGGUAAGUUCAUGACUGGGGUGAAGUCGUAACAAGGCCAG
Molecule: ribosomal RNA, 1479 nt
Filed under: uncultured Bordetella sp.
Lineage: Bacteria; Pseudomonadati; Pseudomonadota; Betaproteobacteria; Burkholderiales; Alcaligenaceae
Description: partial 16S-23S ribosomal RNA intergenic spacer
Rfam family: Bacterial small subunit ribosomal RNA
Source: RNAcentral